Pelobates cultripes (western spadefoot toad) is the source of this 3439-nucleotide non-coding RNA. The record is from the annotation of a GenBank genome assembly. NCBI's taxonomy places the organism in Eukaryota, Metazoa, Chordata, Amphibia, Anura, Pelobatidae.
GUUUUCAAAGAUUUUUUGAAGGAGUGGAGACUGGAUGAAAGUCUAACGGAGAAGGGAAGGGAUUCCACAGGAAAGGUGCAGCGCUGGAGAAGUCUUGGAGGCGAGCAUCAGAUGUGGGAGUACGGACAGAGGAUAGACGUAGGUCUUCGGCAGAGCGCAGGGGCCUCGACGGAACAUAUUUGUGUAUUAGGGAGGAUAGAUAGGUUGGAGCAGCAUUAUGUAGGUACUUGUAAGCAAGCACCAGAAUCUUAAAUUGAGCCCUAUAUCUAACAGGAAGCCCAUGUAGAGACUGACAGAGGGGGUAGGUGCAGGUGGACAGGAAAAUGAGCCUAGUCGCCGCAUUUGUUAUAGAUUGCAGCGGUGCAAUCUGGGAACACAUAAGACCACUGAGAAGGGGAUUGCAGUAGUCAAGGCGACAAAGAACAACGGCAUCGACUAGCACCUUAGCUGCGUCUGGUGUUAAAUAAGGGCAGAUGCGAGCUAUGUUUUUGAUAUGGAAGCGGCAGGUUUUGUCGAUCGACUGGAUAUGAGGGGUGAAGGAGAGGUCGGAGUCAAAGAGAACACCUAGGCAGUGAGCCUGCAAGGUAGAGGUGAUGGUGGCGCCAGUGACUCAGAAGGAGACAGACACGGGAGUAGCAACACUUGAGGGAGGAAAGACCAGAAGUUCUGUUUUGGACAGGUUGAGUUUAAGGAAGUGAGAAGCCAUCCAGUUGGAAAUUGCAGAGGGGCAGUCAGAGACACGAGUCAGGAUGGGCGGAGAGAGAUCAGUAGAGGACAGGUAGAUUUGUUUGUCAUCUGCAUAUAAAUUAUAAUGGAAGCCAAAGGAACUGAUGAGUUUACCAAGGGAAGCAGUUUAGAUGGAGAACAGUAGGGGACCAAGGACAGAACUUGGGGAACGCCAACAGAGAAGGGUUGGGGGUCAUGACUAUAUACACCUAGACAUCACCAAGUGGUAGGUGCAAAGUGAUAAGUGCCCAAAGGAUCAAAAAACCAACGUGCGUUUUGGUGCAUUCAUGUGUGCAGCUUCGUCAGGGGGAAAAGUAACACUGAAUAUAAUCUUCCUUAUAAAGGUGUAGCCCAUGUGGGGAGUUUCAUUACUAGCCAAUCGCACAUACCCACGUAAUGAGGGGGUGUGCACUUUAUUUCAGUGAUGUAAUUACUCAUAUAUGCUUCCUCCCCUCUCAGUCCUGUCAAUCAAUCCUAGGUAGGAAGAGCACUAGGAGAGAGCAGUAUCCCGUAGAUCGAGAUUAUGAAGAAUGGGAAGAAGCUGUUGAUGAUCAACAGUGUCAAAGGCAGCAGAAAGAUCAAGGAGAAUUAGGAUAGAGUAAUGACCGUAAGAUUUAGCAGCAAUUAAAUUGUUGGAUACUUUGGUCACAGUUGUUUCAACAGAAUGACGAGCGUGGAAUACAGACAGAAGCGGGUCAAGCAGAGAGUUGGAUUCGAGGAAUUCUGUCAAUCUCGCAUACACAACUCUCUCAAUGAUCUUGGAGGCAAAUGGGCGGUACUUGAAUGGGGAAUUAGGGUCAAGGUUGGACUUUUUCAGAAUAGGUGUUAUGGUUGCGUGCUUGAAGGGUGAAGGAAAUGUGCCGGAGGAAAGGGAGAGAUUGAAAUUUUUAGUGAGAGUAAGAGCAAGAGCGGGAGACAGAGUGCAGAUGAGAUAUGAGGGAAUAGGAUCAAAGGAACAGGUGGUGGGGUGGAAGGGCGGGAGCAGAGCAGAAACUUCUUCCAUUGUAGUAGUUGCAAAUAAGCAUAGAACAGCAGAGGGAGUGGGGUUGAUUGAUGUAUUGGAAGGGGAGGGAGAGCGGUUAGAGAUCUCUUCCCUGAUUGUCGAAAUCUUCUCAGUGACGUGAGUUGCAAAGUUUGAGAGGUGCCAUGACGUCUAGUUGAGGGGAGAGAGUGGAGUUGCAGAGUUAGGGCAAAUGAGAUUUGAGAUGGGUAAAAGUAGAGUUUGAAGUUUGGUGGAGAAAUGCUGGAGAUCAAGGCAGUGGAGGUUUCUGAGAGAUUUGGAGAGUUGAGGGUGGUGAAAUUUGGAUAUGCUGGCUAUGGCGUAUACCCGAACCACAAAACUAACACGGGUGUUCCUUUAAGUAGCUUUUCCUAGUUUUUUUUUAUCUCCUAUAUCUCAUUAUGAAAGCCAUUAUCUACUUUGCCAAGUAUAUACUUGAUUGAUUGGGUAGGCUGGUAAGAAUAAGAGGGAUGCCGUAAGAGUUGCAGAGUACUAUAUGUGCUCAAGAAUAAAUUAGGCAUGUAUCUGAGAGUGGGAUAGACAGUUGAGAGAGGGGAAAAGACAGGUGAGUGGUGGGAGAGAGAGAAAAAAAAAAAAGGGGGUGGGAUGAGCGGGUGUUAGGCCAGUAUAGACGGGCAUCUGCGUUGAAGUCUGAUUCAUAGGUACUGUUAAGUAUUGUCUGUCAAUUAAGGUGUUUUACCAAAGUUUGACACAAAGUCGUACCACGGGGCCCAUGUCAGGUCACACUUAUCUGCUAUGCCUCUUAGAUCUCCAUAGUACUGAUCUCCUCCACCCUAGCCACCCAUUGCUGGAAGGUCGGCACACCCCUGUAGGAGCAAGGGCAUUAGAUGAAACAGGAGAUAUGAGUUUGUGAUGCUACAGAUUUUGGAAUUGAUCAUUUUUCAGAAAUGGGUGAGAGGUGGACAUGACCACCAAAUGUGCAGCCUCGUCCUUGUGUCUGCCCCACAUCUCCAGCACUACUCUGUGAUCCUGCUAUCAAUGUGGUGGAUAACGUCUGGGGUUCUGUACCAGUGUGUCAAUAUUUUAGAGCUUAUGGAACCCUUAUGUGUCAAUGCGAACAUCUUGUCCCACUCCUGUUAAGUUAGUGUCUCCCCGUGUCCAUCUUCCAUCUGGCAAUAAACCUUUAAGGCAUGUUGUUAUCUCCCAGGAGCAGCAUUGAGUAUAUCAUGGACACUCCCUUGUGUACAUACUUCCUAUUUAAGCAGAGUAUUUCAUAUUGUGUGAGUCCUAUAUGUUUGAGCGAUUUGGACUUAAUGGAGGUCUGUAUUUAAAAGUAUCGGAAUCAGUCAAGGCCAGACUGACCGAUCUUCCGGGAAGAUCUGUCAGUGGCUUCAAAUUCUGGGUUGUGCACCACUCUCAUACAAUGGGACAGUCGUGGGUGUGAAAGCUUUUUAGGUCUCAUGGCUGCUGGCCAGGUCUGUGUUGAAUAAUAUGGGAGUCAGUAAGUUCGGGUUCAUGGUUAGUUGGGAGGGGUAGCGUAGUGUACACCAUACUGCCAGAGUGGAAUUUGUCAGUGGGUUGUCUGUUUUCAGUUGUGGAGGUUGGCUGCUUUUACCUAACGUUUACCAUUCAGAUUUCAGUUUGUUUCAGAGUUUAGUGAAUAGGUAUAGUUAUUUGCAGGGUUACGCAUGACAGGCCUCUUUACGAGUUGGCUCCUCAACGACUUGUUUUAGAGACAAUCCCAGUAAGGAG